Long non-coding RNA from Colossoma macropomum (tambaqui), 442 nucleotides. RefSeq lists it as uncharacterized. The record is from RefSeq and is a predicted model, not a curated record. The transcript is spliced from 2 exons. NCBI's taxonomy places the organism in Eukaryota, Metazoa, Chordata, Actinopteri, Characiformes, Serrasalmidae.
GGAUUUUGUAAUCUUUGGUAGUUAUUGCACUGUUCAUGUACCUGGCUGGGCACCUAUCAUCGCACGUACCAGCAUUACAAUAUUCACCACUGGAAUCUGGAUUCAAGGGUCGAGUCGUCUGUCUGCCUGAUUCUGUUGGAGAAAAGAGGGUCGUUAUUGAUCACUGGGGAGCUCCUGCUCAGCAGUGCAUUCUGGGAAAGGGUGAUACUGGUUAGGAGGUGGGUGUUGAGAGGCAGUGACACAUUAGCAACAAUCCCCCACCCCUCAAGGUCACACAGAAGGCCCAGAUGCAAGAGGCACUGCUGGCACCCAGUGGUGGAAAGCAGCAAUGACCAGCGAGUUGUGAUAUAGAUAGUAGAAACCCACCAACCACCCCCAAAACGUGACAAGGAAAUAUAUCUGCAAUGAUCUAUGACCAUUAAAAGCCAUUAUGAAGCCUGAA